UACGGAGGUGGCAAGCGUUGCUCGGAAUCACUGGGCGUAAAGGGCGCGUAGGCGGGGAGGUAAGUCGGGUGUGAAAUCCCUCGGCUUAACCGGGGAACUGCGUCUGAUACUGGAUGGCUUGAAUCCGGGAGAGGGAUGCGGAAUUCCAGGUGUAGCGGUGAAAUGCGUAGAUAUCUGGAGGAGCACCGGUGGCGAAGGCGGCAUCCUGGACCGGCAUUGACGCUGAGGAGCGAAAGCCAGGGGAGCAAACGGG
RNAcentral lists this ribosomal RNA (253 nucleotides) under uncultured bacterium. Its description in RNAcentral is "partial 16S ribosomal RNA". It matches the Rfam family "Bacterial small subunit ribosomal RNA", at positions 524 to 776 of the family's 1533-position model. The record is from RNAcentral.